Molecule: unclassified non-coding RNA, 169 nt
Filed under: uncultured Clavispora
Lineage: Eukaryota; Fungi; Ascomycota; Pichiomycetes; Serinales; Metschnikowiaceae
Description: sequence contains ITS2
Rfam family: 5.8S ribosomal RNA (bases 1-52)
Source: RNAcentral
AACGCACAUUGCGCCUUGAGGUAUUCCUCAAGGCAUGCCUGUUUGAGCGUCGGCUCUUCUCAAACCCUCGGGUUUGGCUUUGCGACGAAAUAUCAAAACUAGUUGUUUUAAGUACCAUCUAGUCACCCCUUUCGCCCUCAAAUCAGGUAGGACUACCCGCUGAACUUAA